Molecule: long non-coding RNA, 3008 nt
Organism: Papaver somniferum (opium poppy)
Lineage: Eukaryota; Viridiplantae; Streptophyta; Magnoliopsida; Ranunculales; Papaveraceae
Exons: 4
Source: RefSeq, a predicted model, not a curated record
UUCAUUUUAUUUGCCAUAUUCACAUUUCGUUAUCUUCUGUACCUCUUACUUCUCGUUUCUUCCGCAAAACCACUCCCACCACCAUCGAUCCACCACCACUCCACCAUCAUCGAUCCACCACCACCCCACCAUCACCGGCGAAAAAGGAUGUCGAUUUCUUCAUUCUACUUCUCAUUUCAUUUUCUUCCACAGAACCACUCCCACUCCCACCAUCACCGAUAAAUCUUUUAUCUCUACUUCUCAUUUCAUUUUCUUCCACAGAACCACCCCACCACCAUCGAUCCCCCCACCCACACCAUUUUUGAUAGAACAUCUUUGUUAAAGCUGAAGAAGGUUGGAGGUACUAUGUGCAUUCUUACAGGCAUAAGUGAAACAGUCGAGAGUAUUGAAACUUAGCGAUGGCAACGAGGAAGUUAAGCUGAGCAAGACUGCUAGACAAGCGUUGAGGAAGCAACAACAGAUUGUCUCUAAUUGUAUGUGUGAUAUCUGUCAACAGAAAAUACUUCCAGGAAAGGAUGUCUCUACCCUUUUGAAUAUGAUGUGUCUUGCUUGUAGCAGCAGAAAUCGUAAUGGGACUAAUUGUAAGGAGUAUAGCUCAGUAUCUUUGUGCUUCCAUAAACCAACAUGGCAGUAGGAAGUCAAGGAGUCACAAACGGGUCGCAGGGAGAUGGCAGAGACAAAGUGGUUGAGUUAAGCAUUGUUCCCAAAACACCCUUAUCUUCUGUAUUCUGCACUGAGUGCCAGGGUCGUGGCAUAAAUGUUGAAGAGAACUUAGAGAAUCCAAGUGUCUUUUUUUCUGAGGUCACUGAAUUCUGUUAUGCUGAAUCAGAACAAUACCUUGCUUACACCGUGCAGCUAGAGAAUGGAGAGAUUAAGGUUAGUUCACCUCUUAAUCAAAAACCUUGUGAAAUCAUCUAGUUUGAUAUAAUGACAUCAGUGCCUUGAGUUCCUCCAGUAGUAUUUUUCUUAUCAUCGCAGAAAAAACUUAAGCAUGAGUGGUAAUGGGUUGCUUCCCUCACUAGAUCCUUGUUAACUUCGAUUUGAGUAGGAAGCUCACCCAUUCUUGCCAACCUUCUUUUCCCUAUAUGCUUCAACUUAUAGUUUAUUCCACCGUGAACCUUUAACACCUCAACCAUGCAUAGUUGUAAUGUGAGGAAUACUGCAUUUAAAGAUUGUGAUGAUAGUUUUUCGAAUGCUGUGUUCACUGCCAAGAGGAGCUCACCAACAGUGGUAGGGGCCUCUUCGUGUUGUAACGAUUGGAUCGCCCUAAAGAACCCGAGAUCCAACAUGUUCAUGUCUGGACUUCGUUGGUGAAAUUCUUGUCGAAAGAAGCAAUCCAUAGAAAGAUUUGGCGCCGCUCACUAAUAUUCCUGGUGGAGAAACUUGUUCCGAUGUCCAUGAGUGAAGGCUCUGCAAAUUCUGCAAUAUCAAAACGUGUUUAGGUUCUCAGUGACAAUCCAAACAACAAUACACACAAUGCUUAUUCUCCAGAAAAUGGUAUAAGACUCGCAUCUCACACACUUCACUGUGUCUCAACUACUGUAGCUGAGAAGGUAUACUUCUAAUGUCUCAUAUCUGAGAGUGUACUAUAUAUACUCAACAAUGAAGUGCAGGAAACAUAAACGACAGCAAAAAUAUUUUAUCGAUUAGGCAAAGCUUAUAUGCUUGUGACUCUAGCUGACCUGCUUAUUUAUUGUUAGUGGUAAAGCCAUGGGUACUAGUGUCUGUUAAUGAAUAUCAGCUCGCCCAUGGACACUACCAGACUUAUGUCCAAAUGUUGAAGCCUUGAUUAAAGAUACACUUGUUCAUUUUCUGGACUGAUGGUACUGCUGCUGCAUCUACUCAAGGCUCCUAUUUCAUGACUGUCAAGUUCAGGUAACUCUUUCAUAUGCCGAUUAAACAUUGUUAUAAUGUCGAUUAAUCUAUGAACUGAGAUAAACAUUCUUAUAAUGUCGAUUAAUCCAGGAACUGAGAUAGGAAUUCUUAAUUAUAAUGUCUAACAUUAGUAUCGUUUUGCAAGUUCAAUUAGCGGAAAUAAUGACAUGAAAAAGAUACUCCGUGGAUGCCUGGACUGGAGUAAUCCGAAGAGUUGGAACUAGCUCCAUAAAGGGACUAUCUAUGGCAUACUCAGCUGCAGAUAAAAUUGCAAGUGGUUUUGUGUUAUCUAGGAGUUGUCAUUCCUUUUAAGUUUCAGAAUCAGCACAUCUAUUGUGUCAAUGGUACUGGUAAGUUGAUAAAUGAAAUUUUAAAUAUGGCAGAUCCCUGGAAAUGGUACUCUAGACUAAGAGGCAAAUCUGAAAUUAGACUCUAGAAUCAAUUUAUUAUCAACAAUGAAAGUGCAGGAUAUACAGUAAUUUCAAAUACACAGUAAACUUCAAUUAAUGAUUCAACUAGGAGUAUUUUAGAGGAACUGAUAUUUUUACCUUGGAACUUGUGGUGUUGAUUUAAAUUUCAAGCUGAUUUUUCCUUUGAGAAUCUUAGAUCCGUAUUGAUUUUGUUGUAGUUUGAAAUUUCUUUUCCAGUUGAUCUCAGAUAUUGAUAUUCAAGAUGCAAAUUAAGGUAGGGGUUACAGCAAGUUGAGGAGUGAAGAGACAAACUCUGUGAUUCUUAGAUUGAAGAUAAGAUAAUCUGUGAUCAAUUUGAUUUUGAUUGAAAGUGAAGAUCAAAUCAUGGUAGUGAUUAUAACAAAUUGAGGAGUAAAGAGAAGAUUCUGUGAUUCUCAGAAGAUGAUGAAGAUAAUGUGAUUCUCAGAAGAUGAUGAAGAUCUCCUGUACCUGUUCUGAUUGAAUUUGUUUCUGUUUUGAUUGGAUUUGUUUCAGUUUUGAUCGAAUUUGUUUCUGAGUGAACCUCUAACUUGAUGAAUUUUUGAACUUACAUAUCUGUAAAUGGAGAUGGAGGGAAGUGUUUGAAAAUAGUCGAAGUUUUCAAAAUUUGAAUAAAACAGGUCGAAGAAGAAACUAGUCGAAGGAAGAAGAUAAUUAUGGUAUUAAAUGUUUUGUUGUGGGUAA